This 512-nucleotide ribosomal RNA is filed under the name uncultured archaeon. RNAcentral's name for it is "bacterial SSU rRNA". It matches the Rfam family "Archaeal small subunit ribosomal RNA", at positions 345 to 859 of the family's 1478-position model. The record is from RNAcentral.
AAACUUCGCAACGGGGGAAACCCCGACGAGGGAAAGCCAAGUGCCAGCACACUGUGCUGGCUGUUUUCCUGUCUAAAAAACAGGGAGAGUAAGGGCUGGGUAAGACGGGUGCCAGCCGCCGCGGUAAUACCUGCAGCCCAAGUGGUGCUCGUUAUUAUUGGGUCUAAAUCGUCCGUAGUCGGCUGAGUAGAUGCCUGGGUAAAUCGAGGCGCUUAACGUCUCGAAUUCCAGGUAGACCGCUCGGCUAGGGAUCGGGAGAGGUGCAAAGUACUCCGGGGGUAGGGGUAAAAUCCUGUAAUCCUCGGGGGACUACCAGUGGCGAAGGCGUUGCACUAGAACGAGUCCGACGAUCAGGGACGAAGCCCUGGGGCGCAAACGGGCUUAGAUACCCCGGUAGUCCAGGGUGUAAACGCUGCGGGCUUGGUGUCGGCGAUCCUACGCGGGUGGCCGGUGCCGGAGCGAAGGUGUUAAGCCUGCAACCUGGGGAGUACGGUCGCAAGACUGAAACUUAA